RNAcentral lists this ribosomal RNA (460 nucleotides) under uncultured bacterium. RNAcentral's name for it is "partial 16S ribosomal RNA". It matches the Rfam family "Bacterial small subunit ribosomal RNA", at positions 338 to 795 of the family's 1533-position model. The record is from RNAcentral.
CCUACGGGUGGCAGCAGUGAGGAAUAUUGGUCAAUGGACGAGAGUCUGAACCAGCCAAGUAGCGUGAAGGAUGACUGCCCUAUGGGUUGUAAACUUCUUUUAUAUGGGAAUAAAAUGUUCCACGUGUGGGAUUUUGUAUGUACCAUAUGAAUAAGGAUCGGCUAACUCCGUGCCAGCAGCCGCGGUGAUACGGAGGAUCCGAGCGUUAUCCGGAUUUAUUGGGUUUAAAGGGAGCGUAGGUGGAUUGUUAAGUCAGUUGUGAAAGUUUGCGGCUCAACCGUAAAAUUGCAGUUGAAACUGGCAGUCUUGAGUACAGUAGAGGUGGGCGGAAUUCGUGGUGUAGCGGUGAAAUGCUUAGAUAUCACGAAGAACUCCGAUUGCGAAGGCAGUUCACUGGACUGCAACUGACACUGAGGCUCGAAAGUGUGGGUAUCAAACAGGAUUAGAUACCCGUGUAGUC